This 506-nucleotide small RNA is filed under the name Pongo abelii (Sumatran orangutan). Its description in RNAcentral is "processed transcript". Lineage: Eukaryota; Metazoa; Chordata; Mammalia; Primates; Hominidae. The record is from RNAcentral.
GAAGAUGUUUCUGGUGGGCCUGACAGGGGGCAUUGCCUCAGGCAAGAGCUCAGUGAUCCAGGUGUUCCAGCAGCUGGGUUGUGCGGUGAUUGACGUGGACGUGAUGGCCCGGCACGUCGUGCAGCCAGGAUACCCUGCCCACCGGCGCAUCGUAGAGGUCUUCGGCACUGAGGUCUUGCUGGAGAACGGCGACAUAAAUCGCAAGGUCCUGGGGGACCUGAUCUUUAACCAGCCUGACCGGCGGCAGCUGCUCAACGCCAUCACCCACCCUGAGAUCCGCAAGGAGAUGAUGAAGGAGACGUUCAAGUACUUCCUCCGGGAGCCCCGUACCAGCCCCAGAGGAAAGAAGCACGUUCCCUCAGCUCUUAAGGAGGCUGACAGUUUAAUGAGAAGAGACACAUGAGGCUUUCAGGCCAUGAGCCCAGGAAUUACUGGUGCAUCUGCAGGGCUUCGAGGCGGCAGUGGCUCUCCCCUUCUGAAAUUAAACAUCGGAUAAUGUCACCGGC